This 257-nucleotide ribosomal RNA is filed under the name uncultured bacterium. Its description in RNAcentral is "partial 16S ribosomal RNA". It matches the Rfam family "Bacterial small subunit ribosomal RNA", at positions 524 to 776 of the family's 1533-position model. The record is from RNAcentral.
UACGUAGGGUGCAAGCGUUGUCCGGAAUUAUUGGGCGUAAAGAGCUCGUAGGCGGUCUGUCGCGUCUGCUGUGAAAACUCAGGGCUUAACCCUGAGCUUGCAGUGGGUACGGGGCAGACUAGAGUGCGGUAGGGGAGACUGGAAUUCCUGGUGUAGCGGUGAAAUGCGCAGAUAUCAGGAGGAACACCGGUGGCGAAGGCGGGUCUCUGGGCCGUAACUGACGCUGGAGGAAGCGAAAGCAUCGGGGAGCGAACAGG